AUAGGAUGAAGAGACUGAAGAAAAACUGGAAAAAGAAAGGAGACUGUGAGUGAGCAGUAAAAUGGAUAAAUAAUUGAUAAUAAAAAGCAGGCUGUUUUCCUCCAGAAGCUGACUAUUACAUGUUGUCUUUGACUCAAUAAAGUUAUUAGUUCUUUUUGUCUUUCUUAAAAAUGUUCUCUUGCUGUUUAAGAAAAUAAAAAAAAAAGCUGAAUAUAUGAAGGUAGGAACUAAUUAUCUUUCUGUAAGCUAAAUUUUUUUUCUUGAAAAUAACAAAAAAACAUUGUCUUUGAGAUGACUUUAAAAGAAAUCAUCAGUGACCUUUUGAAAAUGCAUGUCUAGAUUAGAGUAGGAUUCCAUAGGGACAAUGUAAUAGCUGAUGAUUAAGGUACUUAUCACCAAAUAUGUAUAAUUUUUGCAAAAGGAAAAUACAUUCCUUGUGCCCUCUGAUACAGCAGAACAUUUCUGCAAGCCAAGUAUGAAAGCAAAGCUGUCAAAAUAAAUGCAACAUUGUGCAUUGUGUUCCAGGCACACAUCUCUGCAUUUACAGCUCAAGCAGUGCAUCCACAUUCUGGACAUGUUGGACUUUUCAGCUCUCUAAAGAAUGCUAUGAGAGUGCCCUCGAUACACAAGCUGCCUAGCUGCCCUUGGGAAAGGCUCUCUGUGCAGUUGCUUCAAGCUCUGUGCAAAUGAAGCUGCAGAAGGUACCAGCAACAGGUCUGGGAAGGAUCAGGGGACCCAAGUAUUGUGGCCAUCCCCAGUGUUGCAGGUUUGGGCAAGAGAUACCAGUUGCUUUAGUACAUGAUACUACUUCCCCUAACAGCUUUUGUCUCCAGCUGAAUGAGAACACACACUGUGUCCUGAUGAUCUGCAGGACUUGCCAAGAGUGAUGCUGUUUUUUAGUGGAAAACUUCUACCAAUGCCUGCCCCAUAUUCAGCACAGUAUUCAGCAGUUAUUCACAUAUAUGAAUCCAACAGCUUCAGAAAGGAUGGUAUUUUUUAAAAUUUGCUAUAGUUUACUUAUCUAUAUAAAUAUAAAUAUAACUCUAAUGUAACAAUAAUUUCGCUUUGCAACAGGAUUUGUUCUAUUGUCUUUUUAUUUCACAAUCCAAGGUUUGAAACCAUUUCAAUUUUCUUUCUUCUCAGAAUGAGUCAUAAAAUUUCUACAAAAUUGAAUUGUUGCUGAAAUUCUCAAGUGAGUUGUUCAAAUUAUGACCUGCUCACCUCCCUUUUACACAGAUAAUUGUGAGUUGUUCCUUAAAUCUUCAAACAAAUUUUGAUUGAGGAAAUUAAAUAAUCAAGUACAAGAUAUGAAAUACUGGAGAAUCAUCCUUCAGUAGGUUUCACUACAUGUUCAGUUGUCAUGAAAAAAGAAAGGACUCAUUGUAAUGAAUGUUACAUACAUAGAGUAGUAGAUGAACAAAAAUAUAAAACUUGUGUUAGCUCUCAGAGGUUACAAACUCCUAUUUCAUAGUUACUGCUGGCCAGGACAGAGAUUCUGGUAUUAAACCUCAAAGUUUGAACAGAAUUUUCUUUUAAAAAGGUCACAGCAUUUUGUAACAUUUUACUAAAAAGGUGUGGAUUUUUCUUUUUCUGUAAAUUAAUGCUAAUAGUUCUAUUCCUCUCUAUAUUUAACAGCUUGCCUGUAGGAUUUCUUUUGCAAUACAUCUUCUUGCCACAAGUUUUUAUGACCAAACAUUAUAUCAGCAGUUAAAGGAUGGAACAAACUAUAUUAAAGAUGAACUUCAAUAGAAUAAAAUGUGGGUUUUUUUAAGGAAAUUAUCA
This 1782-nucleotide long non-coding RNA is filed under the name Parus major (Great Tit). Its description in RNAcentral is "lncRNA (ENSPMJG00000003631.1)". The record is from RNAcentral. Lineage: Eukaryota; Metazoa; Chordata; Aves; Passeriformes; Paridae.